This 508-nucleotide ribosomal RNA is filed under the name uncultured bacterium. Its description in RNAcentral is "partial 16S ribosomal RNA". It matches the Rfam family "Bacterial small subunit ribosomal RNA", at positions 28 to 507 of the family's 1533-position model. The record is from RNAcentral.
GACGAACGCUGGCGGCGUGCCUAAUACAUGCAAGUCGAACGCUUCUUUCCUCCCGAGUGCUUGCACUCAAUUGGAAAGAGGAGUGGCGGACGGGUGAGUAACACGUGGGUAACCUACCCAUCAGAGGGGGAUAACACUUGGAAACAGGUGCUAAUACCGCAUAACAGUUUAUGCCGCAUGGCAUAAGAGUGAAAGGCGCUUUCGGGUGUCGCUGAUGGAUGGACCCGCGGUGCAUUAGCUAGUUGGUGAGGUAACGGCUCACCAAGGCCACGAUGCAUAGCCGACCUGAGAGGGUGAUCGGCCACACUGGAACUGAGCCACGGCCCAGACUCCUACGGGAGGCAGCAGUAGGGAAUCUUCGGCAAUGGACGAAAGUCUGACCGAGCAACGCCGCGUGAGUGAAGAAGGUUUUCGGAUCGUAAAACUCUGUUGUUAGAGAAGAACAAGGACGUUAGUAACUGAACGUCCCCUGACGGUAUCUAACCAGAAAGCCACGGCUAACUACGUG